Molecule: long non-coding RNA, 924 nt
Organism: Myotis davidii
Lineage: Eukaryota; Metazoa; Chordata; Mammalia; Chiroptera; Vespertilionidae
Exons: 2
Source: RefSeq, a predicted model, not a curated record
GCUGAACCACUGGGCCACACCAGCCGGGCCACACUUUGUAUUAUUUUGUUUAAUCUUCUAAAUGAGCUAGGUAACAAGUACUCUCUGUUUGGGGGGAACUGUUACUCUUCUCAUUUCCUGCACAGGUCUGAAUAUGUGCUGUUUGGACAGCUCAGUGGGUUCUGGUUUCACCUCCUUGGCUUCAGGAAGGGAAUCCUCCACGUAUUGAGCUUUGCAAGGGGCGGCUUGUGAUCACUUCCUAGAUGAUAGCCUGGGGCUCAGAGAGGCUAAGUGACUUGUCCAAGGUAACACAGCAAUGAGAGGGCGUUGCUGGCAUUGAAGCAGGUCUCUCUGAAGCCAAGGCUUUCCCUGCCCUCUCAGGUGGGGAAGGUGUCCAGUUUCUGACCCCAGACAUUGCUUCAGGGAAUUCUGCCCCCAGUUUCAGAGCUCAGCAACCUCUGGAAGUGUGUCCAGCCAGUUCCCCACAGAGCUGGCUGAGAUCCAGCUGCAUCCUGGAGACCACAGGCCUCAGACUCCCACUUAAGUCUCCUGCUGCCCACGCUCCUGCCUUGAUCUGCAGUUGAAUAAAGGCUGGGCCCCAGGCAGCCAGGUUUGGUGGGCUUGGCUCCUCUCCUCUUGUGUUCUCUCCCCAGUGGCCUCCCAGAAGCCCUAUGGCCAUGACACAGCUGCUUCUGCUCAUUGUGUCUCUCCUGGUCCUGGGUCAUGUGCCUCCAGGGAGAAGCGAAUUCAAACGGUGCUGGAACGGCCAAGGAGCCUGCCGGACUUACUGCACCAAGUAUGAAACCUUCAUGCACCUGUGCCCAGAUGCCUCCCUGUGCUGUAUCCCCUAUGGACUCAAGCCUCCAGUGCCCCAUAAGCCAGAGAAUGUAUAGCCGGUUCUGGGGCCGGCACACUUGCUCUUCAUAAAACACAUGCUGCCCGUCG